GGUUUCCUGGUGUAAUGGCUAGCACUGCGGAUUCUGACUCUUGAAGAGCAUUCCGCCAAUCUGGGUUCGAUUCCCAGGGAGACCU
Hypoxylon sp. CI-4A is the source of this 85-nucleotide non-coding RNA. Lineage: Eukaryota; Fungi; Ascomycota; Sordariomycetes; Xylariales; Hypoxylaceae. The record is from the annotation of a GenBank genome assembly.